Rattus norvegicus (Norway rat) is the source of this 107-nucleotide small nucleolar RNA. Ensembl annotates it as small nucleolar RNA SNORA17. Lineage: Eukaryota; Metazoa; Chordata; Mammalia; Rodentia; Muridae. The record is from Ensembl.
UCUGCCCCUAUCACUCGGUGUGUCGGUAGAUGCCAGAGAGGAGAGAAGCCGUGUCUACACCCAGUGUUCUGACAUAUGAACAUCUGAAUGGUUUGUAGCCUAACGUU